UGGGGAAUUUUGGACAAUGGGCGAAAGCCUGAUCCAGCAAUGCCGCGUGUGUGAAGAAGGCCUUCGGGUUGUAAAGCACUUUUGUCCGGAAAGAAAUCCUUGGCUCUAAUACAGUCGGGGGAUGACGGUACCGGAAGAAUAAGCACCGGCUAACUACGUGCCAGCAGCCGCGGUAAUACGUAGGGUGCAAGCGUUAAUCGGAAUUACUGGGCGUAAAGCGUGCGCAGGCGGUUUGCUAAGACCGAUGUGAAAUCCCCGGGCUCAACCUGGGAACUGCAUUGGUGACUGGCAGGCUAGAGUAUGGCAGAGGGGGGUAGAAUUCCACGUGUAGCAGUGAAAUGCGUAGAGAUGUGGAGGAAUACCGAUGGCGAAGGCAGCCCCCUGGGCCAAUACUGACGCUCAUGCACGAAAGCGUGGGGGAGCAAAACAGGAUUAGAUACCCUGGUAGUCCACGCCCUAAACGAUGUCAACUAGUUGUUGGGGGAUUCAUUUCCUUAGUAACGUAGCUAACGCGUGAAGUUGACCGCCUGGGGAGUACGGUCGCAAGAUUAAAACUCAAAUGAAUUGAC
Molecule: ribosomal RNA, 569 nt
Filed under: uncultured bacterium
Lineage: Bacteria
Description: partial 16S ribosomal RNA
Rfam family: Bacterial small subunit ribosomal RNA
Source: RNAcentral